CGAAAGCCUGACGGAGCAACGCCGCGUGAGGGAGGAAGGCUCUUGGGUUGUAAACCUCUUUUGUUAGGGAAGAAGCGAGUGACGGUACCUAACGAAUCAGCAUCGGCUAACUCCGUGCCAGCAGCCGCGGUAAUACGGAGGAUGCAAGCGUUAUCCGGAAUUAUUGGGCGUAAAGCGUCCGCAGGUGGUUUUUCAAGUCGGCGGUCAAAGACCGAAGCUUAACUUCGGAAAGGCAGUGGAAACUGAAAAACUAGAGAUCAGUAGGGGUAGCGGGAAUUCCCAGUGUAGCGGUGAAAUGCGUAGAGAUUGGGAAGAACAUCGGUGGCGAAAGCGCGCUACUGGGCUGAGACUGACACUGAGGGACGAAAGCUAGGGGAGCGAAAGGGAUUAGAUACCCCUGUAGUCCUAGCCGUAAACGAUGGAGACUAGGCGUAGCUUGUAUCGACCCAAGCUGUGCCGAAGCUAACGCGUUAAGUCUCCCGCCUGGGGAGUACGCACGCAAGUGUGAAACUCAAAGGAAUUGACGGGGGCCCGCACAAGCGGUGGAGUAUGUGGUUUAAUUCGAUGCAACGCGAAGAACCUUACCAGGGCUUGACAUCUGUAGAACCCCGAUGAAAGUUGGGGGUGCCUUAGGGAGCUACAAGACAGGUGGUGCAUGGCUGUCGUCAGCUCGUGUCGUGAGAUGUUGGGUUAAGUCCCGCAACGAGCGCAACCCUCGUCCUUAGUUGCCAGCAUUAAGUUGGGCACUCUAGGGAGACUGCCGGUGACAAACCGGAGGAGGGUGGGGAUGACGUCAAGUCAGCAUGCCCCUUACGCCCUGGGCGACACACGUACUACAAUGGUCGGGACAAAGGGCAGCGAACCCGCGAGGGAGUGCGAAUCUCAACAAACCCGGCCUCAGUUCAGAUUGCUCUGUGCAACUCGAGAGCAUGAAGGAGGAAUCGCUAGUAAUCGCCGGUCAGCAUACGGCGGUGAAUUCGUUCCCGGGCCUUGUACACACCGCCCGUCACACCAUGGAAGCUGGCCACGCCCGAAGUCGUUACCCUAACCGUAAAAGGAGGGGGAUGCCGAAGGCAGGGCUAGUGACUGGGGUGAAGUCGUAACAAGGUAGCCGUACCGGAAGGUGUGGCUGGAUCACCUCCUU
Molecule: ribosomal RNA, 1144 nt
Filed under: Gloeothece reniformis
Lineage: Bacteria; Bacillati; Cyanobacteriota; Cyanophyceae; Chroococcales; Aphanothecaceae
Description: 16S ribosomal RNA
Rfam family: Bacterial small subunit ribosomal RNA
Source: RNAcentral